GGGAAAUCGGUGCGAGCGGGCGCGGCAAGAUGGGAGGUCGAGGCGUUGUUCGGGUUCACGUGGCGUAAAGGGGUCGUAGGUGGUGAGGUAAGUCGGAUGUUAAAUCUCGGGGCUCAACUCCGAAAUGGCAUUGGAAACUACCUUGCUCGAGGGGUGGAGGGGGGACUGGAAUACUUGGUGUAGCAGUGAAAUGCGUAGAUAUCAAGUGGAACACCAGUGGCGAAGGCGAGUCCCUGGACAACUCCUGACACUGAGGCACGAAAGCUAGGGGAGCAAACAGGAUUAGAUACCCGUGUAGUC
Molecule: ribosomal RNA, 300 nt
Filed under: uncultured Pyrobaculum sp.
Lineage: Archaea; Thermoproteati; Thermoproteota; Thermoprotei; Thermoproteales; Thermoproteaceae
Description: bacterial SSU rRNA
Rfam family: Bacterial small subunit ribosomal RNA
Source: RNAcentral